RNAcentral lists this long non-coding RNA (1366 nucleotides) under Oreochromis niloticus (Nile tilapia). RNAcentral's name for it is "lncRNA (ENSONIG00000037468.1)". Lineage: Eukaryota; Metazoa; Chordata; Actinopteri; Cichliformes; Cichlidae. The record is from RNAcentral.
GUCAUUGAUGCAUACCUGCACCGUGUCAUUGAGAGACGAAAGGUAAUGAAGUGAGAUCGAUCAAUAAACGACGGAGGCUCCAGAAAAGUGCAAUCAAACGAUGAGUUUAUUAACACAGGAGAACAACCAUCAGCAUAUGGCCUGUUUUGCUCUGACAGAAAUACACUGGGUUCUGGUUUUAUAGCAUAGAGGAUCACGCCCCCACGUACAUGUCAAAUACAGGUCAAAAAUACAUUAUGUACAGUCAUUGUUUUCAGACAAGGGUACAUCUUGUACAUCUCUAAUAACUAUAAACAGACAUGUAACUUCUCUUUUCUAUAACACUUGCCUUUUAAGGUAAUAAACUUCAAGCUUCAGGGUCUCUGAGAGCUAAUAAUGGACCCUCGUCAUCAAUCACUAAGUAGACAGAAUCGCAGCAGGUCUCAAAGAAAAGCAGAAGACACUUGGGCCUUCGCUCAGGCCUGCUACUAGAUUAAUAUGUGUAUUGUAAGCAUGCAUGCAAUUAACCUGCUAUGUUCUCAUCUUCCCUCAACAUGUAUCACCUGGACACUCUCACCAGUAAAGCUUAAAACCCUCUUGGAUGGAACAUCAACUCUAAACAAGCACAGAUAUGCACUGUGUAUAAAAUGAACUCUACCUGUGAAUAGAAUGGUCAAUGUGAUGACAAACAUAUUCAAUGCAAUAUGAACCCUGUAAGGAAUAUUAUAUAUAUUCAUAUAUUAUAUAAUAUAUGAAGGUGUUAAUGACAGGAAAAUUCUGCGCAACUGGAGGUAUGUAUGAUACUGAGGUAUUAUUCUUCUAUGUUUUAUGUUUAGGUAUUAAACAUAAAACAUUUCUUGUUUCAUUACAAACAUUUUUGUUCAACUAGGAAUUUUCUGAGGAUGAGAGGGCAUGAAGACACCAUGGAGUGGCAGUUACAGACUAUGCAACACAACAAGCAACAGGAUUCCAGCAGUUGCGGAGUUUUGCUGUUAAAGUUUGCAGAACAGUACCUUGCUUUUGGAGAGGUCAGUGAGGUGUUAACCACUACAGAAGCAGUUGUGCUGGAGCGAAUGCAGAUAGCUUGCACCCUACUUGAACAUCGAGGGAACGCUGAGGACUACUGCACUGUUUGCUCUAUGUUAGAUGCUGACGCUGACCGCAGCAUGAUUGAAAUGGUGCAGUGUGAAUCUUGCCAAAGAUGGGCACAUUUUGCAUGUGCAAAAUAUAAAGAGAGCAACCAAGAAGAUAAAUGCAAAAAAUGUAAGGAAAAUACAUAACAACUUCAAAUAAAAACAGCUGUCUUUUCCCCUCCAUGUCUCUUUGUAUUCUUUGUCAACAUUAGAUGAUUGUGUGCUGGAGGCAUGUUUUGAUACCUAAAUAAAUC